Molecule: RNA transcript, 1548 nt
Organism: Helicoverpa armigera (cotton bollworm)
Lineage: Eukaryota; Metazoa; Arthropoda; Insecta; Lepidoptera; Noctuidae
Exons: 2
Source: RefSeq, a predicted model, not a curated record
UUUUCCACCAAGGCUACUACUAAUUCCUACCUUCCAGAAUUAAAUUUUGGAGCACAAUGAUUUCACGAAUAAAAAAUAAUAAUAAAUUGAGUUUUUGCGCCUCGAGACAUAAAUUAGCAACUGUUGACGUAGGCGAUGUCUGUAUAGUAUACCUGUCAUAGUAUGACAUCUUGAGAUCAGAAUGGCUAUCACCUUUAGAUGCUGAUUCAUCUUCAAAACCAUGAGGGUAGCAAUUAGGUAGCAACUGUCUAUGUAUUUCGAGGGGAUCGAUGAGUGACAGCGAUUAUGACGGUUAAGUCAUAGGUACUAUAGUUGUGUGCAAAGCGACUCUGGACACAGUGAAUGACGAUAGAUUAUUUACUGAAGAACGGUUUGAUUGUUUAUCAGUGUACGUAUCUGAUUGUUCAUUAAUUGUUUAUAACGCGGCGUGUCUGACGCGUGACCAAACGGCACUAACGAGGCGAUUCUCUCACGCCUAUAUAGCGUCCCACGCGCAUGCGCGACACACUCCCUGCCGACACGUCGCCCACGCGUCACCCGCGCGUCCGCCACACGUGGUCCACGCGCAGAAUGAGAAGCGUCGCGCUGCUCGCGCUGACGGCGGUGAGUUAUUUAUUAUAUUUAAGUAGAUGAUAAUUUACACAUUGAGAACGUUAACUUGCAAAACUCUCGCGAGGCACUCUGUUCAAUGCCUCGUACGUAAUGUUUGUGCGAGGCUUCACGUUUAACCAAUUGUAUCUGGCGACUACGACAACAAUAACCAUUCAGUUUAUUUCGCAGUAUUUCCCAAGGGCAGUCAGAUUAGGAAAUGCCGCAGCAUCUAGUUUUAUAAAUAUUGACUCGGUUUUAAAUAAUCCCCCGCAGUGUCAGGCGGUGCUGAGCGUGCCGCGCGCCGACCACGUGAGUCAGCUUCCUACAUCGCGUUACCUCGUGUUGUGUGUCUAACCGACUGCGGCGGAGUGCCGCCUCACGCGGAGCGGCUGUCUGUCUGACUUUGUCAAUUCAAUAGAUUUUGUUCUUUUGGCAAAAUUGCUUAUUUCUUACUCUUAAUUUGUAAGUUAGAAGGGAUUCACUAACUGGGUCUUGCGGAACCUAAACUUUAUAGAAUAGUUAAGUAUCAGGUUCCGCUGAAAUUUUGAAUGAAAUUCGAGUUUGUGUAAAAAAUAAAUAAUUUUGUAGUUUAGUAAUACGUACGAAAUACGAGUAGAUGGUAAAAUUGAAUCCAUUAUUUUUUUUACUCAGAUAUACAAGUUCAUGAGAACGGUUGAAUAUUGAUCAUUUGUUGAUGUUAGUACGUUAUCUGGUAAUGUGAUUGAGUUCAGUUUAGCUCCGUGUCUGACGUGGAGCAGCUGGUGCCACAACUGGCGGGCUCCCCCCCGCUCGCGGCUCCCCCCUCCGGGGCGCGGCGUGACUUCAUGCCGCUCGGCGAGAAUUCUGACAUGAGGCCGCCGCCGUGGCUGACGCGGCCAUAGCUCGCCUGCCCACGUCUCAUGGUCACCUAGUAAUAAUACUUAUGUACUUGUAUUGAAAUAAACUGUUUACCUGUUG